Molecule: ribosomal RNA, 497 nt
Filed under: uncultured bacterium
Lineage: Bacteria
Description: partial 16S ribosomal RNA
Rfam family: Bacterial small subunit ribosomal RNA
Source: RNAcentral
GAUGAACGCUGGCGGCGUGCCUAAUACAUGCAAGUCGAGCGAACAGACGAGGAGCUUGCUCCUCUGACGUUAGCGGCGGACGGGUGAGUAACACGUGGAUAACCUACCUAUAAGACUGGGGUAACUUCGGGAAACCGGAGCUAAUACCGGAUAAUAUAUUGAACCGCAUGGUUCAAUAGUGAAAGACGGUUUUGCUGUCACUUAUAGAUGGAUCCGCGCCGCAUUAGCUAGUUGGUAAGGUAACGGCUUACCAAGGCAACGAUGCGUAGCCGACCUGAGAGGGUGAUCGGCCACACUGGAACUGAGACACGGUCCAGACUCCUACGGGAGGCAGCAGUAGGGAAUCUUCCGCAAUGGGCGAAAGCCUGACGGAGCAACGCCGCGUGAGUGAUGAAGGUCUUCGGAUCGUGAAACUCUGUUAUUAGGGAAGAACAAAUGUGUAAGUAACUAUGCACGUCUUGACGGUACCUAAUCAGAAAGCCACGGCUAACUACGUG